AUUGAACGCUGGCGGCAUGCCUUACACAUGCAAGUCGAACGGCAGCACGGGAGCAAUCCUGGUGGCGAGUGGCGAACGGGUGAGUAAUAUAUCGGAACGUGCCCAGUCGUGGGGGAUAACGUAGCGAAAGCUACGCUAAUACCGCAUACGAUCUAUGGAUGAAAGCGGGGGAUCGCAAGACCUCGCGCGAUUGGAGCGGCCGAUAUCAGAUUAGGUAGUUGGUGAGGUAAAGGCUCACCAAGCCGACGAGCUGUAGCUGGUCUGAGAGGACGACCAGCCAGACUGGGACUGAGACACGGCCCAGACUCCUACGGGAGGCAGCAGUGGGGAAUUUUGGACAAUGGGCGCAAGCCUGAUCCAGCAAUGCCGCGUGCAGGAUGAAGGCCUUCGGGUUGUAAACUGCUUUUGUACGGAACGAAACGGCGAGCUCUAAUACAGUUUGCUAAUGACGGUACCGUAAGAAUAAGCACCGGCUAACUACGUGCCAGCAGCCGCCGUAA
This 500-nucleotide ribosomal RNA is filed under the name uncultured bacterium. RNAcentral's name for it is "partial 16S ribosomal RNA". It matches the Rfam family "Bacterial small subunit ribosomal RNA", at positions 30 to 523 of the family's 1533-position model. The record is from RNAcentral.